RNAcentral lists this ribosomal RNA (253 nucleotides) under uncultured bacterium. RNAcentral describes it as "partial 16S ribosomal RNA". It matches the Rfam family "Bacterial small subunit ribosomal RNA", at positions 524 to 776 of the family's 1533-position model. The record is from RNAcentral.
UACAGAGGUCUCAAGCGUUGUUCGGAUUCAUCGGGCGUAAAGGGUGUGUAGGUGGCGCCGUAAGUCGGGUGUGAAAUUUCGGAGCUUAACUCCGAAACUGCAUUCGAUACUGCGGUGCUUGAGGACUGGAGAGGAGACUGGAAUUCAUGGUGUAGCAGUGAAAUGCGUAGAGAUCAUGAGGAAGACCAGUGGCGAAGGCGGGUCUCUGGACAGUUCCUGACACUGAGACACGAAGGCCAGGGGAGCAAACGGG